GUAAGUUCCCUGCGGCCUGCCCAUCCAUGCUGAACUGUAGGAUCCUGAUUGUUACACGAACUGUCCACCUCCAUCCAGAGCCGUGUGGCUUGUAGUGCCUUCUCGUGGCAGGUAUAUUUUCCUGCCUGUUCACGUGACUUGUGUUGGCCAGUGGAAUAUAGUUUGAUCUGCAGUAGUUUGAAUCUGAGGAUGCUGAACCUGUGGAUAAGGAGAGCCUACUUUUCUUGGACAAAUGCCCUGUGUCAGAAGAGUGUGGUAAACAGAAGCUCAGCUCCUUCAAGGAUGACAGCCUUGGUUACACCACCAGUUUCUCUAGGAAAAGAGACCAAAGUCAGGGAGCAGUCGUUUUCACAUGGGAUGAACUCAGUGUAAGAGGCAAGCAGAUUGUGGAAGAUUAGAAGAUAAUGGAUACUAUUAUUCCAUCCAGAUUCCUCUUCAGGACCAAGGACUCAUUUUCCAGCUGGCAGGAAUGUUAGCUACUGACGGCCAUGGCUGAGUUCCUCUUCAGGAAUUAUCCUCCACUUGAGGGGAAUUGCUUUGUUCAGUGUUACACUCCCUCUAUAGUGGCAGCCCACACUGGUUGAUGUGGGGUACAAAGUCCUGGACCUUGUCUUAGAUGGGAUAGUUCUGAAGGGCUAUUCCAGCUCCAGAACUCCUCAUAGGAUUGGCUGAGGUCUCCUCUGCAACUGGAUCACAGUUCAACUUUUUCUUCUGCCCAGUCCUUCUUCUCUCAUCUGUUGCCAGUUUUAUUCGUGUGAGCAUUCGGAUCACCAACGCUGUGACCUCGCUGUGUGAACGGGAGCUACUACAGGAAGGAAGCUUACAAAUGAGCUGCAUGGAUCCCACAUUUUGCUAAAAUCAAAUAGGACCUUUCUCCUCUUUGUUGAAUGCCGUAAUACACAAGAAAUAAGCCAGCAGGAUGCUCAUGUCCAAGGUUUCCCUUUAUCUACCACACGAGUUGGCAUGAAACAACUUCUGGGGUUCAAAUCUUCUGAACAAUGAUACAAGUCUUGGCAAAUUUCAAGAAUAAUUUAAAGAGGAAAUAAAUAGCUUUUUGUUUAACUUGGAUCAAUUAUCUCCUAUUGCUCCCAGCUUCAUGCCAGGUACUCUCCACUGUGCCUGGGAAAUAUGAAUCCCUGCCCUCAUGAAAAAACAUUGGCCAUGAGGAUUUUCCCUACAACCCAAGAACUAUUUGAAGUUUGAAGUCUUUCAGCCCAGACAACACUGGCUAUUUUCACCUUUGCCUUCAACUAUAAAGGCUGGGCUCUCUCUGCAGGAGUGGGUUACUGCUGGCAGAACAGAGAAAGAGAGAGAGCAGGAGAGAGAGAGACAGACAGAAUCCACUAGUAGAAUAAGCCAUGAUCACCACUCAAAACUUUUGCUACUACUUGAUCAGUACCUGGAAUUCUGAGGAAAACCCUAUUAGAGAUUGCAAAUCCAGUAAAUAAAGGCAGCAGUGGUACCUUGUUAAAAACAUCAAAUCCAAAGUGCUCUGAGGAGGAAUAUGUACGGUGUGUUCUAGGGACAGAAAAUAAGACAAACGUGGCUGGAGUAUUGGAAGGGGAAGUGAGUGUUACUAGAGAAGGUCAUGAGGUGAGGCGGGCCAGAUCAUAUGGGUCUGUGUAAGCUAUGGCAAGGAGUGUGGAUUUUAUUCCAAGUAAGAUGGAAAGCCUUUAUGAAGUUUUAAAAACGGCAGUGUUAUGAUUUGUAACAUCUGAGUUUAUGUUUACAUCGUGGCCAAAUUAUUUUAUAAAAUAAUGUAAUAAUGGUUCAACAGUUUGAUUGUGUUGCCCUUAAAAUUUCACAAGACUUAAAAUUUUCUACACUAUUCAUUUCAGUAUUGACUGUAAUUUAAUAACUCAAUUAGUAAUGUUAAAUAAAUUAUUUGUUACUACCUAUUGAAAUUAUAUAUAUAUAUACACACAC
Molecule: long non-coding RNA, 1926 nt
Filed under: Homo sapiens (human)
Lineage: Eukaryota; Metazoa; Chordata; Mammalia; Primates; Hominidae
Description: HSALNT0047601
Source: RNAcentral